AGUGAACGCUGGCGGUAGGCCUAACACAUGCAAGUCGAACGGCAGCACAGUAAGAGCUUGCUCUUACGGGUGGCGAGUGGCGGACGGGUGAGGAAUACAUCGGAAUCUACUUUUUCGUGGGGGAUAACGUAGGGAAACUUACGCUAAUACCGCAUACGACCUACGGGUGAAAGCAGGGGAUCUUCGGACCUUGCGCGAUUGGAUGAGCCGAUGUCGGAUUGGCUAGUUGGCGGGGUAAAGGCCCACCAAGGGGACGAUCCGUAGCUGGUGUGAGAGGAUGAUCGGCCACACUGGAGCUGAGACACGGUCCAGACGCCUACGGGAGGCAGCAGUGGGGAAUAGUGGACAAUGGGCGCAAGCCUGAUCCAGCCGUACCGCGUGGGUGAAGAAGGCCUUCGGGUUGUAAAGCCCUUUUGUUGGGAAAGAAAAGCAGCAGGUUAAGACCCCGCUGUUCUGACGGUACCCAAAGAAUAAGCACCGGCUAACUUCGUG
RNAcentral lists this ribosomal RNA (492 nucleotides) under uncultured bacterium. Its description in RNAcentral is "partial 16S ribosomal RNA". It matches the Rfam family "Bacterial small subunit ribosomal RNA", at positions 29 to 507 of the family's 1533-position model. The record is from RNAcentral.